AGGGCGCACGGUGGAUGCCUUGGCACUAGGAGCCGAUGAAGGACGGGACUAACACCGAUAUGCUUUGGGGAGCUGUAAGUAAGCUAUGAUCCAGAGAUUUCCGAAUGGGGGAACCCAAUAUCUUUUAUAGGAUAUUACUUUUCAGUGAAUACAUAGCUGAUUAGAGGUAGACGCAGAGAACUGAAACAUCUUAGUACCUGCAGGAAGAGAAAGAAAAUUCGAUUCCCUGAGUAGCGGCGAGCGAAACGGGAAGAGCCCAAACCAACAAGCUUGCUUGUUGGGGUUGUAGGACUCCAAUAUGGUAGUCUGUUAGUAUAGUUGAAGGAUUUGGAAAAUUCCGCUAAAGAGGGUGAAAGCCCCGUAGACGAAAUGCUAACAACACCUAGGAGGAUCCUGAGUACGGCGGAACACGAGAAAUUCCGUCGGAAUCCGCGGGGACCAUCCCGCAAGGCUAAAUACUCCCUAGUGACCGAUAGUGAACCAGUACCGUGAGGGAAAGGUGAAAAGCACCCCGGAAGGGGAGUGAAAUAGAUCCUGAAACCGUGUGCCUACAACAAGUCAAAGCUCGUUAAUGAGUGAUGGCGUGCCUUUUGUAGAAUGAACCGGCGAGUUACGAUUGCAUGCGAGGUUAAGUCGAAGAGACGGAGCCGCAGCGAAAGCGAGUCUGAAUAGGGCGAAUGAGUAUGUAGUCGUAGACCCGAAACCAUGUGAUCUACCCAUGUCCAGGUUGAAGGUGCGGUAAAACGCACUGGAGGACCGAACCCACGUACGUUGAAAAGUGCGGGGAUGAGGUGUGGGUAGCGGAGAAAUUCCAAACGAACUUGGAGAUAGCUGGUUCUCUCCGAAAUAGCUUUAGGGCUAGCCUCGGAAUUGAGAAUGAUGGAGGUAGAGCACUGUUUGGACUAGGGGCCCAUCUCGGGUUACCGAAUUCAGAUAAACUCCGAAUGCCAUUCAUUUAUAUCCGGGAGUCAGACUGCGAGUGAUAAGAUCCGUAGUCGAAAGGGAAACAGCCCAGACCACCAGCUAAGGUCCCAAAAUAUAUGUUAAGUGGAAAAGGAUGUGGCGUUGCCCAGACAACUAGGAUGUUGGCUUAGAAGCAGCCAUCAUUUAAAGAGUGCGUAAUAGCUCACUAGUCGAGUGACCCUGCGCCGAAAAUGUACCGGGGCUAAACAUAUUACCGAAGCUGUGGACUACACCAUUAGGUGUAGUGGUAGGAGAGCGUUCUAAGGGCGUUGAAGGUCGAUCGUGAGGACGGCUGGAGCGCUUAGAAGUGAGAAUGCCGGUAUGAGUAGCGAAAGACAGGUGAGAAUCCUGUCCACCGUAUGACUAAGGUUUCCUGGGGAAGGCUCGUCCGCCCAGGGUUAGUCGGGACCUAAGCCGAGGCCGAUAGGCGUAGGCGAUGGACAACAGGUUGAUAUUCCUGUACCAGUUGUUUUUGUUUGAGCAAUGGAGGGACGCAGUAGGCUAAGGAAUGCAUGCGAUUGGAAGUGCAUGUCCAAGCAAUGAGUCUUGAGUAGAGUUAAAUGCUUUACUCUUUAAGGACAAGUUGUGACGGGGAGCGAAAUAAUAGUAGCGAAGUUCCUGAUGUCACACUGCCAAGAAAAGCUUCUAGUGAGAAAACAACUGCCCGUACCGUAAACCGACACAGGUAGUCGAGGAGAGUAUCCUAAGGUGAGCGAGCGAACUCUCGUUAAGGAACUCGGCAAAAUGACCCCGUAACUUCGGGAGAAGGGGUGCUGACUUCGGUCAGCCGCAGUGAAUAGGCCCAAGCGACUGUUUAUCAAAAACACAGGUCUCUGCAAAAUCGUAAGAUGAAGUAUAGGGGCUGACGCCUGCCCGGUGCUGGAAGGUUAAGAGGAUGGGUUAGCUUCGGCGAAGCUCAGAAUUGAAGCCCCAGUAAACGGCGGCCGUAACUAUAACGGUCCUAAGGUAGCGAAAUUCCUUGUCGGGUAAGUUCCGACCCGCACGAAAGGCGUAACGAUUUGGGCACUGUCUCAACGAGAGACUCGGUGAAAUUUUAGUACCUGUGAAGAUGCAGGUUACCCGCGACAGGACGGAAAGACCCCAUGGAGCUUUACUGUAGUUUGAUAUUGAGUGUUUGUACCACAUGUACAGGAUAGGUAGGAGCCGAUGAGACCGGAACGCUAGUUUCGGAGGAGGCGCUGGUGGGAUACUACCCUUGUGUUAUGAACCCUCUAACCCGCACCACUAAUCGUGGUGGGAGACAGUGUCAGAUGGGCAGUUUGACUGGGGCGGUCGCCUCCUAAAAGGUAACGGAGGCGCCCAAAGGUUCCCUCAGAAUGGUUGGAAAUCAUUCGAAGAGUGUAAAGGCAGAAGGGAGCUUGACUGCGAGACCUACAAGUCGAGCAGGGACGAAAGUCGGGCUUAGUGAUCCGGUGGUUCCGCAUGGAAGGGCCAUCGCUCAACGGAUAAAAGCUACCCUGGGGAUAACAGGCUUAUCUCCCCCAAGAGUCCACAUCGACGGGGAGGUUUGGCACCUCGAUGUCGGCUCGUCGCAUCCUGGGGCUGUAGUCGGUCCCAAGGGUUGGGCUGUUCGCCCAUUAAAGCGGCACGCGAGCUGGGUUCAGAACGUCGUGAGACAGUUCGGUCCCUAUCCGUCGCGGGCGUUGGAAAUUUGAGAGGAGCUGUCCUUAGUACGAGAGGACCGGGAUGGACUUACCGCUGGUGUACCAGUUGUUCUGCCAAGGGCAUUGCUGGGUAGCUAUGUAGGGAAGGGAUAAACGCUGAAAGCAUCUAAGUGUGAAGCCCACCUCAAGAUGAGAUUUCCCAUUUCU
RNAcentral lists this ribosomal RNA (2795 nucleotides) under human gut metagenome. RNAcentral describes it as "bacterial LSU rRNA". It matches the Rfam family "Bacterial large subunit ribosomal RNA". The record is from RNAcentral.